Molecule: ribosomal RNA, 118 nt
Organism: Lepisosteus oculatus (spotted gar)
Lineage: Eukaryota; Metazoa; Chordata; Actinopteri; Semionotiformes; Lepisosteidae
Source: Ensembl
GCCAGCUGCCAUAUCACCCUGCAACUCACAACUGGAACCCACUGAAGCUAAGCAGGUGUGAGCCUGGUCAAUACCUGGAUGGGAGACCUCCUAGGAAAAACUAAGGUUGCUGCUGGAA